UACGUAGGGGCUAGCGUUAUCCGGAAUUACUGGGCGUAAAGGGUGCGUAGGUGGUUUCUUAAGUCAGAGGUGAAAGGCUACGGCUCAACCGUAGUAAGCCUUUGAAACUGGGAAACUUGGGUGCAGGAGAGGAGAGUGGAAUUCCUAGUGUAGCGGUGAAAUGCGUAGAUAUUAGGAGGAACACCAGUGGCGAAGGCGACUUUCUGGACUGUAACUGACACUGAGGUACGAAAGCGUGGGUAGCAAACAGGAUUAGAUACCCGGAUAGUCCCUGAGCGGGCUGGCAA
Molecule: ribosomal RNA, 287 nt
Filed under: uncultured prokaryote
Description: partial 16S ribosomal RNA
Rfam family: Bacterial small subunit ribosomal RNA
Source: RNAcentral